CUUUGCGGGGAAUAAAGGGCCAGUUUCCCAAGAUUCUCAAAUUCUCUGGGGUAGGCAAGAGACCCAACAACCUCAGCCCCUCCACACAGGAAAAGGGAUUUGCUGCCAUCAAGAUCUCCAUGAACAAGAGGGGUGGCAGGGAGGAGAAAAGAGAAAGUACUGAGAGAGAGACAAGGAGAACCUAUCCUGCCUGACACCAGCACAGAUAGGCCCAAUUGCUUUCCAAAUACUUUUGAAUCUAAUCCAGUGCAUUUCUAGGGCACCUAGCCUUGGUGUAUUUAAACUACCAAACAACAGCUAUAAAGAACACAGCAAAAGUGCAAGACCUUUCAAACUGCAUCAAUGCCUUUCACUCCCUCCCCACCUCCUCAGGAAACGUCAGAAAGGAGAAAUUACCACUAACUUCUUGGAGAGGAGUGAAGAGGAAUCCCUGGCCUCCAGUUUUGUUCUCAUCAUGGGAGCCAGUCUGAUCUUUCUAGGCUCUUGAAGUGAAGAUGGAACUUUUCAGGGCUCCCACCUAACAACUGUCAAUGCCCCUUCAAACUGCAAGGAUAGGCUACAGGACUUCAGUAUUCCUGGGUGAAGAGGAGGAGCUCUUUUGCCAGGCAAGUCUUCUCCUGUUAGAGUGAAACUCUGCUUAUAGUGAACCUUUUUGGGGUGUGUUGCCACAAAACCAAACAUCACUCAGAAAGGGCCCCACUGUAUCAAAGUUAAGGAUCCAUAAACUUCCCUAUCAUGAGAGUCACAGAGAUUGUGAUAGCGAGAGAUAAUGUGGACCCACAUCCAUCUUAUCUCUCUUAACCCUCCAAAAUGAGUCCCUUCUCUCAUGCUGAGCACCAAAUACCCAUUAGACAGCCAUGAUUUCAUGUGCAAAGACAGGCUGGCAGCACAGAAGGAGAUUAGCGAUUGCUAUGGUGAACUGUUAUAACAGAGAGAACAAAAUGUGAUUAGAAAGGGCAAGGUCUUUAAUGUUCCCUUGGUCCUAGACUUAGUCACCCAUCAUAUCAAUGUUUAGAGAGUCCUCUCUAAGUGGAGGUGAGGGUUUUACUACUAAGGUGUCUGUGACAUACCGGGGCAAAUCCAGACUAGUUGGGGGCUGGGUCCUUGUUUUGGGCCAUUGAAUAGAGCAUCAUGAUGCUGCAUCAAGACAUCAUACUGUUCCACCAAAACAUGACGACAGUGGGUCACAGGGUAUUGUGAUGACCCAAGCUGUCAUGCACCAAUGCAGUAUCAUGAUAUGCACAUCAUUAGGUGGGACAAGUUUGUGUGCCUCCCAAGAUUAAUCUGGGGGAAGGAUCUUAAAGCCCCAAAGACACAGAAACCAAGGGAUGAAGAAUAUGCCCAUGAAUGUUGGUGGUGUGAACAGCUGUCCAGCCACCCAGGAGACCGGGGUGUUACAAAGAGACAAAGGGUCAGUUACCCUUCCUUGUCAGUAAGGACAGAAUGAGAAGUAACAGGCAGCAGCAGCAGCAGCAAGGAAACUUUCUGAAGCGUUCCAGAACUAGAGUAAUCAUAAGGACAAUGGAGUGAGCCGGCCAGGGGGAGGCUGCCGAAUCACCAUCACUGGAGAAUUUGAUGGAGUCAUACCUAGAAGAAACGAAUACAUAGAGCUGACCAGAGGAUGGCAAUUCUGUUUCAUGGCAUCGUUAGCAGGUUUGGGGCAAAAUCUCUUCUCCUUACCCCAUCUAAUGCCUCACAUUCAGAAAUGUUCUUCCAUGGCAGGGUGGAAUUCUCCUUCAGCAGCCAAGUGCCCUCAGGAGUGCAGAAGCGGUAAACUUGUCCAUGGAGCACUGCCAACAACAAGGAGGGAAAGAACGUAGACUUACUGGGGAGAAGAAUAGAACAACUACGAAGCUUAGCCUACCCUCUCCCCGUCACCUGUCACCUUAUUACAGCUGUUCUUCACCUUGCUCCUUUCCUGUAACAAAGACUGCAAUUCAUUCAUUCUCACAGCCAACUGUGUACAGCUUCCAAGAACACAUGAUAAAAUAGAACUAUACUGAACCAUCAAAAUAAAAGUAGGAAG
Long non-coding RNA from Mauremys reevesii (Reeves's turtle), 2026 nucleotides. RefSeq lists it as uncharacterized. The record is from RefSeq and is a predicted model, not a curated record. NCBI's taxonomy places the organism in Eukaryota, Metazoa, Chordata, Testudines, Geoemydidae. The transcript has 4 exons.